GAUCCUUAAAAUAAAUACCAAGGUAAAAUCCCUUCUUCCCUUCUAACCGUGUAUGCCUCUUGAUUUUAAGACCAGGAUAAGGCAUCAGUUGCUGGCAACCACGAAGAGACACUAAAGACCUUGAGACUCACAGUCUUGGGUUGAAACACAUCUUGCUUUGCCUCUCUCUCUGCCAGCAAACUACAGAGGGGCUGGCCUAAGAUCCGACAAAAAUGAAAUGUUUCGCAGAUCUUGCUAGAUCACCGUCCACAGGUGAAAGGUGUAAUUUCAAUGCCAUUUACAGAUUUAUUUGCUAAUUUUGUGCUGGAAACGACUGACUGUUGCAUGGAUUGUUCCCAUGCAUAAAUCUGAGGUGCAAAUGGGGCUACAUUUGUAUCAAGAACUGCAAGUGCUUCUACUGUGAAGGGCUGCUGCCAGUUUUAGACCUGUGGAAUAAGUCCUACAGAGCCGGCUGCUGUUGACUUUCAAGAAGGCAAGGACACUGUUUUCAUUCCUUUUCCAUUCAUUUUCAUAUCUUCUCCUUAUCCUGAAUUUUAUUUUAUCCCUGACACAGAACUGUGUUGCCAAGGUUCUGGAGAUGCAAGGGAUUUGGAAGGAGGAACCUUUCAACACAUCCUCAAGUAAGUUAGGUGCAAUUCUUUAUGCCCACCACUCAAGGUGAUCUGGCCACAAAGAGUGUGUCCUUGAAGAGGGCUUACAAGAUGGUACUGGUUGAGUAUCCCAAGAAGGUAAGUUCACAGCUGUGGAAGGAGAAUUUGGUCUGAGCACAUAUUUUAACAGUGUUUCUGCUUAACUUUUCUGGUUACACAAAUGUAGCAUGGACAGCUGAGGGUGUGCACAGGUUCCACUGUCAGUUUCUUUACGUUUGAGGAGAGCUGCGAGUGUCCAGGUGCUGACAUUCAAGGAGUAGCAACAACAUUGCAGUCACAGCUGGGACUCACCUAUUGCAGCUGGUGAGCACAGUCUUCAAGAACACCCAAACAUCCAAACCAGUUGUUUCAAAUCUGCACAGCUGUAUUAACUAGGCUUUGCUUCACAGGGACUGCAGUAAUAUUUCAGAUACCAUUUGAAUAGGGAUUUUUGUUAUUCCAGAACAAUAAAAAAAUAUUAAAAUGUC
Molecule: long non-coding RNA, 1117 nt
Organism: Corvus hawaiiensis (hawaiian crow)
Lineage: Eukaryota; Metazoa; Chordata; Aves; Passeriformes; Corvidae
Exons: 2
Source: RefSeq, a predicted model, not a curated record